This is a non-coding RNA of Meleagris gallopavo (turkey), 782 nucleotides long. Lineage: Eukaryota; Metazoa; Chordata; Aves; Galliformes; Phasianidae. The record is from RefSeq and is a predicted model, not a curated record.
UCUGUGGGGCUCCUAAGCUGGUUUACAGUAGCUGUGUCUGCUCUGCCCCUCCUCAUGCUGCCUUCCAGUUGUUCUCUGAGGGGAGCGAAGGAGUUAUCAGCCUUUUUCUGAAGCGGUCAUGGCGGGACUGAUGCUCGUUCCUUUCUUUUGCUCCCAUCUGUUUCUGGAAGGCUUCCGUCAGCCCCAAGGUAACGCUGGUCGGCUGGCUGAGCAUUGCAACUCUGGAAAUGCCGGGAGCUGGUGCACUUUUCCGCACAGGGAUUCUGUGUUCUCCAGGUUUCCUCUGCAGCUCUUGUUCAGCUCAGUACCUUCCCGUGAAGUCUCUGUUCCCUCUUUCAUGGUUCUCGUUGCGGAAUCUCCACCCUGGGACUCCAAACUGGACAGACGGAAGGCUUUCUGGGGCUGCUCUGGUUAGUGCUUUAAGCUCUGUGCAAUCCGUGGAGCAGACAGUGGAACACCAUGAAGCCCCUGUUUGUGCGUCGCUGGUAUGCAGCUCCCCUUUAGGUAUCGAAAGGCUGUUACCAGGUCCCCUCGGAGCCUUCGCUCCUCCGCGCUGAACAGCCCCAGCUCUCUCGGCCUGUCCUUGGAGGAGAGGGGUUUGAUCCUUUGGUUCUUUGUGUUUCGGGGCCGUCCUCUGAAUGUGCUCCAACGGGUCUGUGUCCCUUCUGCCCUGAGGACUCUUCAUAUGGACACAGCGCUCCAGGUGAGGCCUCUUCAGCACAGGGCAGAGGGGCAGGAUCACCUCUCCUCACCUGCUGACCGGAGCCUGUCUGGGUCCCUCU